GCGGCGGGAGGUGGUGGCCGGGGUGGGAGGUGUGUGAGCGCGUGUGUCGCGCAGUGGGGAGCAGUGGGUCGCGCUGCCGGCUGUCAGCUAGCUACGCGCCGCCGCCCGAUGGCUCCAAGAGGUGUGCUGGAUCGACCCCGGGGGGCCGGCAGUGGGUAAGCCCCUCUGCCUGUCUCCCGCGAGCAUGACACCUCCAGCCUCGGCGACAGCCUUCGCCAGCAGUGCCCGCGCUCCCGCCUCCGGCAGCCGCAGCCACUGCCUUGGGCAGUGGCCCCCGGACCCCCGCCCUUGAUCCACGCCCAGACCCUAGCGUCAGAAGACCAUGGCUGGCCAAGGGGACUGCUGCGUCAAGGUGGCGGUCAGGAUCCGGCCCCAGCUGUCAAAGGAGAAGAUUGAGGGCUGUCACAUCUGUACGUCUGUAACCCCGGGGGAACCCCAGGUCCUACUGGGGAAGGACAAGGCCUUCACCUAUGACUUUGUUUUUGACUUGGACACUUGGCAAGAACAGAUCUAUUCGACCUGUGUGAACAAGCUUAUCGAGGGCUGCUUUGAGGGCUACAAUGCCACAGUGCUGGCCUAUGGGCAGACGGGGGCCGGGAAGACGUACACUAUGGGCACUGGCUUCGACACGGUGACGUCAGAGGAGGAGCAGGGCAUCAUCCCAAGGGCCAUAGCUCACCUCUUCGGGGGCAUCGCUGAACGCAAGCGACGGGCUCAGGAGAAGGGUGUGGCUGGGCCUGAAUUCAAAGUCAGCGCUCAGUUCCUGGAGCUCUACAAUGAGGAGAUCCUUGACCUGUUUGAUAGCACUCGUGACCCUGACGCUCGCCACCGCAGGUCCAACAUCAAGAUCCACGAGGAUGCCAAUGGUGGCAUCUAUACCACAGGCGUCACGUCUCGCCUCAUCAACUCCCAGGAGGAGCUGAUCCAGUGCCUGAAGCAGGGCGCCUUGUCCCGUACCACGGCCAGCACCCAGAUGAAUGUACAGAGCUCGCGCUCCCAUGCCAUCUUCACCAUCCACCUGUGCCAGAUGCGUGUGUGUGCCCAGCCCGACCUGGUGAACGAGGCGGUGACAGGGCUUCCUGAGGGCACAGCUCCUACGAACGAAUACGAGACACUCACAGCCAAAUUUCACUUUGUGGACCUGGCUGGCUCCGAGAGGCUGAAGCGGACAGGGGCCACGGGUGAGCGGGCCAAGGAGGGCAUCUCCAUCAACUGUGGCCUGCUGGCCUUGGGCAAUGUGAUCAGCGCCCUGGGGGACCAGAGCAAGAAGGUGGUGCACGUGCCCUACAGGGACUCCAAGCUCACUCGGCUCCUCCAGGACUCUCUGGGGGGCAACAGCCAGACCAUCAUGAUUGCCUGCGUGAGCCCCUCAGAUCGGGACUUCAUGGAGACACUCAACACACUCAAAUACGCCAACCGGGCCCGCAACAUCAAGAACAAGGUGGUGGUGAACCAGGACAAGACGAGCCAGCAGAUCAGCGCACUGCGGGCUGAGAUCGCUCGCCUGCAGAUGGAGUUGAUGGAGUAUAAGGCGGGCAAGCGGGUGAUUGGGGAGGAUGGAGCCGAGGGCUACAGUGACCUGUUCCGGGAGAAUGCCAUGCUGCAGAAGGAGAACGGGGCACUGCGGCUGCGGGUGAAGGCCAUGCAGGAAGCCAUCGAUGCCAUCAACAGCCGUGUCACCCAUCUCAUGAGCCAGGAGGCCAACCUGCUUCUGGCCAAGGCUGGUGAUGGCAACGAGGCCAUCGGUGCUCUGAUCCAGAACUAUAUCCGGGAAAUUGAGGAGCUGCGGACAAAGCUCCUGGAGAGUGAGGCCAUGAAUGAGUCCCUCCGCCGCAGCCUGUCAAGGGCAUCGGCUCGGAGCCCCUAUUCCCUGGGAGCAUCCCCAGCAGGUCCGGCCUUUGGGGCCAGCCCAGCCAGCUCCAUGGAGGAUGCUUCUGAGGUGAUCCGCAGGGCCAAGCAGGACCUGGAGCGACUGAAGAAGAAGGAGGUCAGGCAGCGGAGGAAGAGCAGUCCAGAGAAGGAAGCCUUCAAAAAGAGGGCAAAACUCCAACAGGAAAACAGUGAGGAGACAGACGAGAAUGAGGCUGAGGAGGAGGAGGAAGAUCGAGACGAGAGUGGCUGUGAGGAGGAGGAAGGGCGUGAGGAUGAAGACGAGGACUCGGGCAGCGAGGAGAGCCUGGUGGACUCAGACUCAGACCCCGAGGAGAAGGAGGUGAACUUCCAGGCGGACCUGGCCGACCUGACAUGUGAGAUCGAGAUCAAGCAGAAGCUGAUUGAUGAGCUGGAGAACAGCCAGCGGCGCCUGCAGACACUCAAGCACCAGUACGAGGAGAAGCUGAUCCUGCUGCAGAACAAGAUCCGAGACACCCAGCUAGAGCGGGACCGUGUGCUACAGAACCUCAGCACCAUGGAGUGCUACACAGAGGAGAAGGCCAACAAGAUCAAGGCGGAUUAUGAGAAGAGACUGCGGGAGAUGAACCGAGACCUGCAGAAACUGCAGGCUGCGCAGAAGGAGCACGCCCGGCUGCUCAAGAACCAAUCGCGCUAUGAGAGGGAGCUGAAGAAGCUUCAGGCUGAGGUGGCCGAGAUGAAGAAGGCCAAGGUGGCCCUGAUGAAGCAGAUGCGGGAGGAGCAGCAGCGCCGCCGGCUGGUGGAGACCAAGAGGAACCGGGAGAUCGCUCAGCUCAAGAAGGAGCAGCGACGGCAGGAGUUUCAAAUCCGGGCCUUGGAAUCCCAGAAGCGGCAGCAGGAAAUGGUCCUGAGGAGGAAAACCCAGGAGGUUUCUGCAUUGAGGCGCCUGGCCAAGCCCAUGUCGGAGCGGGUGGCAGGGCGCGCAGGGCUGAAGCCACCCAUGCUGGACUCGGGGGCUGAGGUGUCAGCCAGCACCACCUCAUCUGAGGCCGAGUCGGGGGCCCGCUCUGUCUCCAGCAUUGUGCGCCAGUGGAACCGCAAGAUCAACCACUUCCUGGGUGACCAUCCUGCCAACACCGUCAAUGGUACCCGCCCGGCCAGAAAGAAGUUCCAGAAGAAGGGGGCCAGCCAGAGCUUCAGUAAGGCUGCAAGACUCAAGUGGCAGUCCCUGGAACGGAGGAUCAUUGAUAUUGUCAUGCAGAGAAUGACCAUUGUCAACCUGGAAGCUGACAUGGAGAGGCUCAUCAAGAAAAGGGAGGAGCUGUUCCUCCUGCAGGAGGCACUGCGGAGGAAACGUGAGCGGCUGCAGGCCGAGAGCCCGGAGGAGGAGAAGGGGCUGCAGGAGUUGGCCGAAGAGAUUGAGGUGCUGGCGGCCAACAUCGACUACAUCAACGACAGCAUCACCGACUGCCAGGCCACCAUCAUGCAGCUGGAGGAGACCAAGGAGGAGCUGGACUCCACGGAUACCUCGGUGGUCAUCAGCUCCUGCUCCCUGGCCGAAGCCCGCCUCCUGCUGGACAACUUCCUCAAGGCGUCCAUUGACAAGGGGCUGCAAGUGGCACAGAAGGAGGCCCAGAUCCGGCUGCUGGAGGGACGGCUGAAGCAGACAGACAUGGCAGGCUCCUCCCAGAACCACCUGCUCCUGGAUGCCCUGCGUGAGAAGGCCGAGGCGCACCCCGAACUGCAGGCCCUCAUCUACAAUGUACAGCAGGAGAAUGGCUAUGCCAGCACAGACGAGGAAGUCUCAGAAUUCUCUGAGGGGAGCUUCUCCCAGUCAUUCACCAUGAAAGGCUCCACCAGCCAUGAUGAUUUCAAGUUCAAGGGGGAGCCCAAGCUGUCUGCCCAAAUGAAGGCUGUGUCAGCUGAGUGCCUGGGACCCCCACUGGACAUCUCCACCAAGAACAUCACCAAGUCCUUGGCCUCCCUUGUUGAGAUCAAAGAAGAUGGGGUGGGCUUCUCCAUCCGUGAUCCCUACUACCGAGACAAGGUCUCACGCACCGUCAGCCUGCCCACCCGGGGCAGUACUUUCCCCCGGCAGUCUCGAGGCACAGAGACGUCCCCUCUGUCCCGGAGGAAGUCCUAUGACCGGGGGCAGCCUAUCAGGUCCACAGAUGUGGGAUUCACGCCUCCAUCUUCCCCUCCCACCCGGCCCCGCAAUGACCGCAACGUCUUCUCUCGUCUCACCAGUAAUCAGAGCCAGGGGUCAGCACUGGACAAGUCUGAUGACAGCGACUCCUCUUUGUCGGAGGUCCUGAGGGGCAUCAUCACCCCCGUUGGAGGAGCUAAGGGUGCGCGGACAGCCCCGCUGCAGUGUGUGUCUGUGGCCGAGGGUCACACCAAGCCCAUCCUCUGCCUGGACGCCACAGACGAGUUGCUUUUCACAGGGUCCAAAGACCGAAGCUGCAAGAUGUGGAACCUGGUAACGGGGCAGGAGAUCGCAGCUCUAAAGGGCCAUCCCAACAAUGUGGUCUCCAUCAAGUACUGCAGCCACUCGGGGCUGGUAUUCUCCGUGUCCACCUCCUACAUCAAGGUGUGGGACAUCCGGGACUCAGCCAAGUGCAUUCGGACUCUCACGUCCUCAGGCCAGGUGAUCUCAGGUGACGCCUGUGCUGCCACUUCAACCCGGGCCAUCACCAGUGCCCAGGGGGAGCACCAGAUCAACCAGAUGGCCCUCAGCCCCUCUGGCACCAUGCUGUAUGUGGCCGCAGGCAAUGCCGUCCGCAUCUGGGAGCUCAGCAGGUUCCAACCCAUUGGCAAGCUGACUGGACACAUUGGCCCCGUGAUGUGCCUGACGGUCACCCAGACUGCCAGCCAGCAUGACCUGGUGGUGACUGGCUCCAAGGACCACUACGUCAAGAUGUUCCAGCUCGGCGAGUGUGUGACAGGUACCAUUGGCCCCACUCAUAACUUUGAGCCCCCGCACUACGAUGGCAUCGAGUGCCUGGCCAUCCAGGGAGACAUCCUGUUCAGUGGCUCCCGUGACAACGGCAUCAAGAAGUGGGACCUGGAGCAGCAGGAGCUCAUUCAGCAAAUCCCCAAUGCCCACAAGGACUGGGUGUGUGCCCUGGCCUUCGUCCCAGGCCGCCCCAUGCUGCUGAGCGCCUGCCGCGCGGGCGUCAUCAAAGUCUGGAACGUGGACAACUUCACGCCCAUUGGUGAGAUCAAGGGCCACGACAGCCCCAUCAAUGCCAUCUGUACCAACACUAAGCACAUCUUUACAGCCUCCAGUGACUGCCGGGUAAAGUUGUGGAAUUACGUCCCUGGACUCACCCCCUGCCUUCCUCGCCGAGUCCUGGCCAUAAAGGGCCGCGCCACCACCCUGCCCUGACCCUCCCCCUCUCCCCGGUCUCCUCUCUCGUUCUUCCCCUCUUUCCUUUUUCCCUGUCUUUUCCCCUCUUCGGUCUGAGCUGCUUCUUCACGUGACCUGACGGUGAAGUUCUGGAGCAUACGGCGGUUACCAGCGGCCAACCCUAGGAGUUAGGUCAGGGCAUGCCUGGACCCUCAACCCCAGCAGCCUUCACUGCAUGGAAGGGAAGCUGUGGCCUGACCAGACUGGCUAGCGGCACUGGGGACAGAGGGUGUGGCCCCUCUCCUGUUCCACUUCCUCUCCCUCGGCCAUAGGAUACUAUCACCUCCGUUCCUCCCCGACUCUUAGGAGCCUCCUGGUGAAAGAAGUUGGAGAGGAAAUCAAGCUGUGAAGCCAAAGGGCAUUACCCCUCUUCUCUCUCCCCUGGAAGUCCCCUGGGGUUCCCUCCAUCUGGCCUCACGGUCUCCUGCUGAGCUAGCCCUGCUGCAGGCCAUUGGUCCAGGGUGGGACCUGUAGGGGAGGGGAAGCAGCUUCUGCCCAUCAUGCCCCUCUGAUGAGCGCCCAGCUCAGCCUCUGUACCACUUCACCUGCCUCUGAGCCCAACCAGGUAGUCCUCAGGUAACCAUGGAAACCAGGUGUAGGCAGCUAGGCCUUGCAGCUGACCUUGAACCCUGUGGCCAACAACAUCUAGUCCCAGUGGGCCUGAACCAUUCCCUGGAGUCCCAUUCUGAUGGGGGCCAAGGUGGAGCUACUAGAAAGAUUCCUUUGAGGAGAUGGUCAGGAAUACUUCAUUUUUUUAACUUAUUAUUUUUUUUAUUUUUUGCUGUUGCCUCCUGGAAACCGACUUGAAGUUCCUUCCCACACAUUCUUUCCCUCAGCUUUAGGGACUUUGCUCCCCAGCACUCCAGGGCCACCUCCUCUGUUUGCUUUGCAAAGGAGAGAAAUGCCCUCUGCCACUCUUUGCAGCCCUGACCUAUCCCCAGCUCUGUCCCUGGGGAUGCUUCUAGUGCCCCCCUGGCCUCUGGGCCGCCUGAGCUUCAGUGCCUUCCUUCGCCCCGGGGCCUGGCCCUCGUGCUGGGCAGCCUUACGCCAACCAUGCCCGCUGCGCCACAUGUGUCUUCUACUCAAGGGGUCUCAUGUCCACCACCCCUGGAAGGCGGGGGAGCUCACCCCACACAGCCCAGGGCUCGGGAGCCCUGCUCCCCGGACUCCCACAUGGUCACAUAGGAAGCAGCUUGGUGGCCCUGUCCACUGGGAAGCUGCUUGGGUGGUGAGGACUGCCUAGCACCUUGCCCCUCCCUCCCAAUCAACCUAUCGUUUCACCCCUGAAUAGGACAAGGGGUCUUUUCAGCUUCUGUCCUUCUGGUUAUCAGGAGGCACAUUCUCAAGCCUUAAAAGCGGCACGGGGCCUGGGCCUCCCUAGAGAUUGGAGGUCAGAUGGCAGUUAGUUCACUGAGCUGCUCCCUCCCCUGGGGCUCCAGGGAGGGGGCCAAACCAGUGUUCUGACGCCCCCUGUUGGACCCACUCUGAAUUCACAGGAAUGGGAGGGGCCAGCUCCGUCCCUCACUCCUGGCUUCUCCCCAAGCCUGUCCACAUUGUUUUCCGUGGCUUCACUGGUCUGGUGCUGACCGGCCCCAGUCUGGAAGCCAGGAUUCCCAGCUCCGUUCGGAGGACAUGGUGACUUAUGGACUUCCCAGUUAAUGGCGCGAUGUUUCUGUCCUGAGCUCCUCUCCGUCUGUGGCUGGGGCUGUUGGAGUCUGCUCCACGUGGGCCCUGGUGGGCAGGGUGAGGCCCCAGUGAAAGCUGAGGCCUGCCACCCUCCCUGAGCCCUCCUCAGAGCCACCCCAGAGGCUAAGGAGGCCGUCCUGCUUGUUGGCGGCCCCUGCUGGACAUGGCAUUGAGUCUGGGUGAGCAUGCUCAUCUCCUGGAACCUGGACAGUCUGUCUGCUUCGACUGGAAGUCCUUCUUUCUCUUUCCAUCCCUGGAGUGCUGGCUAGCUCCCUUUGCACUCAGAAGUGACCACAAGUCUCCCCCUCCCCGUCCACCCCUCCCCGCCUGAACAGAGAGCUUCGACCUUCAAACUCGUCCGCAUGACCGUUUACAACCACAGAAACACGUGGAGACUUGUGCCCCCUCCCCUGCCCCCAUGGGCCAGGGAGGCCCCAUCGUGGGGCCACCCAGCCCAGGUGACUGUACUGUAGCUGCAAGGCCUGUCCGAGUUGUGGUCUCACGGCCCUGCGAGAGGUGCUCAUCAACAUGGCCCGCUCUUCGCCAUUCCUGAUGGGUCACUACCUCACAGCGGGGCCGGCUCUGCUGUCCCGGCCAGUGUCAUUGACUCUAAACUUGAAGUCCUUUGGGAGCCCUGAGCCAGUCGUCUCUGAGCCGCCCGGACCUGUGCUCUACGAGCGUUGGAGUCACCCACUCUUUCCAGAGGUCCAUAGUCAGGGGGCAAGUCCCCGGUCACUGCACAAGCAUCCAGAGUUGGAAGCACAAACUGGUUGUGAUUUAAGCACAAUGGCAGGGUUCUCACGGGCAGUGUGCACAGUCCUGGGCCUGGGAGGCUCCCCCCAGGUUGACCUUGUCCCCUGUUAUACUAAGGGUGCCCGUGUCUAGAAUUGCUGGCUGCCCUUGCUGAAGCUAGGUCUUGGCUUGUAAUCGUCAUUUUACUUCUUGUGCCCAUCCUAAGGCCUGAGCCCAGGCCACAUCUGUAUGUUGUGGGCCCAGGGAGUAGAGCCCUCCCUUGUC
RNA transcript from Marmota monax (woodchuck), 7963 nucleotides. It is a transcript of the gene named kinesin family member 21B, with no coding region annotated. The record is from RefSeq and is a predicted model, not a curated record. The transcript has 36 exons. Lineage: Eukaryota; Metazoa; Chordata; Mammalia; Rodentia; Sciuridae.